ACGCACGCUGGCGGCGUGCUUCACCCCUGCCAGUCGCACGGAAAGGCCCUGCUUUUGUGGGGUGCUCGAGUGGCGAACGGGUGAGUAACACGUGAGUAACCUGCCCUUGACUUUGGGAUAACUUCAGGAAACUGGGGCUAAUACCGGAUAGGAGCUCCUGCUGCAUGGUGGGGGUUGGAAAGUUUCGGCGGUUGGGGAUGGACUCGCGGCUUAUCAGCUUGUUGGUGGGGUAGUGGCUUACCAAGGCUUUGACGGGUAGCCGGCCUGAGAGGGUGACCGGCCACAUUGGGACUGAGAUACGGCCCAGACUCCUACGGGAGGCAGCAGUGGGGAAUAUUGCACAGUGGGCGGAAGCCUGAUGCAGCAACGCCGCGUGCGGGAUGACGGCCUUCGGGUUGUAAACCGCUUUCGCCUGUGACGAAGCGUGAGUGACGGUAAUGGGUAAAGAAGCACCGGCUAACUACGUG
This 467-nucleotide ribosomal RNA is filed under the name uncultured bacterium. RNAcentral describes it as "partial 16S ribosomal RNA". It matches the Rfam family "Bacterial small subunit ribosomal RNA", at positions 29 to 507 of the family's 1533-position model. The record is from RNAcentral.